ACUCAAAGGAAUUGACGGGGGCUCACACAAGCGGUGGAGCAUGUGGCUCAAUUCGAAGCAACGCGAAGAACCUUAUCCUGGGUUUGACAUGCAUGGAUUAGUUCCUGGAAACAGGAAUGACACUCUCGUAGUGGAACAUGCACAGGUGCUGCAUGGCUGUCGUCAGCUCGUGCUGUGAAGUGUCGGGUUAAGUCCCUUAACGAGCGAAACCCCUAUUACUAGUUGCCAACGCGUUAUGGCGGGGACUCUAGUGAGACUGCCGGUGUUAAACCGGAGGAAGGUGGGGAUGACGUCAAGUCCUCAUGGCCUUUAUGCCCAGGGCUGCACACGUGCUACAAUGGCGCGGACAGAACGAUGCAAGACCGCAAGGUGGAGCAAAUCGCCUAAACCGCGCCCCAGUUCGGAUUGAGGGCUGCAACCCGCCCUCAUGAAGUCGGAAUCGCUAGUAAUCGCGGAUCAGCUACGCCGCGGUGAAUAUGUUCCUGAGCCUUGUACACACCGCCCGU
RNAcentral lists this ribosomal RNA (506 nucleotides) under uncultured bacterium. RNAcentral describes it as "partial 16S ribosomal RNA". It matches the Rfam family "Bacterial small subunit ribosomal RNA", at positions 899 to 1397 of the family's 1533-position model. The record is from RNAcentral.